UACGAAGGGGGCUAGCGUUGUUCGGAAUCACUGGGCGUAAAGCGCACGUAGGCGGCUUCUCAAGUCAGGGGUGAAAUCCUGGAGCUCAACUCCAGAACUGCCUUCGAUACUGGGAGUCUCGAGUUCGGGAGAGGUGAGUGGAACUGCGAGUGUAGAGGUGAAAUUCGUAGAUAUUCGCAAGAACACCAGUGGCGAAGGCGGCUCACUGGCCCGAUACUGACGCUGAGGUGCGAAAGCGUGGGGAGCAAACAGG
Molecule: ribosomal RNA, 253 nt
Filed under: uncultured bacterium
Lineage: Bacteria
Description: partial 16S ribosomal RNA
Rfam family: Bacterial small subunit ribosomal RNA
Source: RNAcentral